This 402-nucleotide ribosomal RNA is filed under the name uncultured bacterium. RNAcentral's name for it is "bacterial SSU rRNA". It matches the Rfam family "Bacterial small subunit ribosomal RNA", at positions 29 to 422 of the family's 1533-position model. The record is from RNAcentral.
AAUGAACGCUGGCGGCGCGCCUAAUACAUGCAAGUCGAGCGAGAAGACGUAGCAAUACGUUUGUAAAGCGGCGAACGGGUGAGGAAUACAUGGGUAACCUACCCUAGAGUGGGGAAUAACUAGCCGAAAGGUUAGCUAAUACCGCGUACGCUCCUUGGACUUCGGUUCAGGGAGGAAAGCGAUACCGAGGGUAUCGCGCUCUUGGAUGGGCUCAUGUCCUAUCAGCUUGNGGUGAGGUAACGGCUCACCAAGGCUUCGACGGGUAGCUGGUCUGAGAGGACGAUCAGCCACACUGGCACUGCGACACGGGCCAGACUCCUACGGGAGGCAGCAGUAAGGAAUAUUGCGCAAUGGGCGAAAGCCUGACGCAGCGACGCCGCGUGGGGGAUGAAGGUCUUCGGA